GGGAAGGCAAGCACAUACAACACACACAAUGCAAGGGUAAGCUAGGUAUAAAAAGCAUGUUAUCAAUCAAGUAUUUCAAGCAUGCAAGAACCACAAACAAUACAGACUAUGACCAAAUGUAUUUUAUUGAUACCAAUGACCGACCACGUGAUUUGACCAUCCGGACUAGUAUGAAAUAUCGAGUUCCAGAGGUUUGUGCACUUGUGGUGCCCUAUUGCUUUGCAAAGCCAUUGCCGAGAGGUUUCACCCGACCACACACAAGGUUAGUCCGUUACAGCGGUAUAGGCCUAUAGUGAAAGCGCCUAUCCUAGGAUCUCCUGCUAUUCUCACGACAUGACUCAUCACUCUCUACUUGAGCUUGGAUGAUCAUUAAAAUGUCAGGAUAAACCCCAUUGGGAACUCCAGCCAUUCAUACGGUCAAUCACAACAAAGUACAUGGCACCAUCAUGUAACCUCCCUUGAGGAUCAUGGAAUUACAUCCAAUAACCAUACUUUUCACUUUCCACACCAUGCAUAUCUCUUACAUUCAUAUACUUUCAAUUUAGCCAUAUA
This 552-nucleotide long non-coding RNA is filed under the name Vigna radiata. RNAcentral's name for it is "long non-coding RNA (VRAD_LNC014554)". The record is from RNAcentral. Lineage: Eukaryota; Viridiplantae; Streptophyta; Magnoliopsida; Fabales; Fabaceae.